RNAcentral lists this long non-coding RNA (263 nucleotides) under Homo sapiens (human). Its description in RNAcentral is "HSALNT0321917". Lineage: Eukaryota; Metazoa; Chordata; Mammalia; Primates; Hominidae. The record is from RNAcentral.
AGGGAGAGCAGGAAGGAAAAAGAGAAGAGGAGGAAAAGAAAGAAGGCAUGAAUGGAGAGAACUGAAAAUAGUGGAAGAAGGAAGAAAGAAAGCCUUAUUCUCAAGACUCCGCCAGAUGCAGGACACUAUGUGAGAUGAUACGCCAUGGAGAUCUUGGGCAAGAAGCUGAGUGGAUGACCCCACCAUCACUUAGGUACGAUCCACUUCCUCUUCGGUAGUGGAGCUUUAUAGUAUGUUUCUCAGGCUGACCAUGUGGAGACAGA